Molecule: unclassified non-coding RNA, 233 nt
Filed under: uncultured fungus
Lineage: Eukaryota; Fungi
Description: sequence contains ITS2
Rfam family: 5.8S ribosomal RNA (bases 1-52)
Source: RNAcentral
AACGCACAUUGCGCCCCUUGGUAUUCCGAGGGGCAUGCCUGUUCGAGCGUCAUUUCAACCACUCAAGCCUCGCUUGGUGUUGGGAUUCGCGGUCUCGCGGUCCUUAAAAUCAGUGGCGGUGCCAUCUGGCUCUCAGCGUAGUAAAAUCCUCGCUAUGGAGUCUGCUGGUGUCUGUCAAAAAACCCCUCUUUAUGGUUGACCUCGGAUCAGGUAGGGAUACCCGCUGAACUUAA